RNAcentral lists this ribosomal RNA (495 nucleotides) under uncultured bacterium. RNAcentral's name for it is "partial 16S ribosomal RNA". It matches the Rfam family "Bacterial small subunit ribosomal RNA", at positions 28 to 507 of the family's 1533-position model. The record is from RNAcentral.
GAUGAACGCUGGCGGCGUGCCUAAUACAUGCAAGUAGAACGCUGAAGGAGGAGCUUGCUCUUCUGGAUGAGUUGCGAACGGGUGAGUAACGCGUAGGUAACCUGCCUGGUAGCGGGGGAUAACUAUUGGAAACGAUAGCUAAUACCGCAUGACAACAGUUAUUGCAUGAUAACUGUUUAAAAGGGGCAACUGCUCCACUACCAGAUGGACCUGCGUUGUAUUAGCUAGUUGGUGAGGUAACGGCUCACCAAGGCGACGAUACAUAGCCGACCUGAGAGGGUGAUCGGCCACACUGGGACUGAGACACGGCCCAGACUCCUACGGGAGGCAGCAGAAGGGAAUCUUCGGCAAUGGACGGAAGUCUGACCGAGCAACGCCGCGUGAGUGAAGAAGGUUUUCGGAUCGUAAAGCUCUGUUGUAAGAGAAGAACGAGUGUGAGAGUGGAAAGUUCACACUGUGACGGUAUCUUACCAGAAAGGGACGGCUAACUACGUG